AUGUACACAAAAGAAAAAAGCUAAACAAUCAAAUCAAUCAAAUAUCCACUUGCUUAAACUAAGUUUAUGGGUAAAAAUAUAUUAGUUCUCAUGGAAAUAAGUAAUUGAGUAAAUACUGAUAAGGUGGAUGAUAUGUAUAUAGUAGAUAAGAAUACUUCUGUCAUUGCACUCAGUUGAACGGUUACGACUAUUUAUAACUAUCCACGCUUUGCUACGCUCAUAAAUGACUUCUAUUUAAUUACCAUUAUACGUUUUCUUCGAAGUUCUGAUAAGAUUAGGACUAUAGUUAAUUUGUUUAUUUGGUUUCUUAUCGCCGCUCACUUGCCAGCCCAAUCUGGUGCUCCCUUUAUGACCAACGUAAUGUAAGAGUAUACAUAAAUAACUGCUUUGUGCUAUAUCUAAAGAGUCAUAUAUUGAAUGGAGACUUUAUCUAAUGUCACAUACUUUCAGUAAUAUUAAAUUCCUGUGCGUGGAAAUAAUAUUAUUCAAAUUUAGGUGCUGAACUAUUCAGUUUGACUUAGCAGUUCGUUGAUGAAAGUUGUGUGUGUCCACUGGAAACUCCAGUAUUGGGGUCCUACGAGGCAGUACCAAAAAAUGUGAUUCCUGUGGAUUCUUGGGUGAUCUACAACAUGACCCAGUAGAUUUCGCAAAACGUGUGUGACACGGUUAAAAUGGAUUUGGCAACAUCGCAUCGGAACUGCAGUUUAACUCAACAAAUUGCUACAACGCUGAAAUGACAAAUAAAAGCAUCUGUUAUUUCUUUUUUUCAAAUUCCGAUCUCCAGGACAUUUUAAAUAACCUUGAAUUAUAUAAUAAUUCAUCCUUAAAAGUUUUUAAAUACGCUUGAGAUAUCGAGAGUGUUUGCGCUAACAAGAAAUCUACAAAAGUUUAAUAUAUGCUGAAAAUUAUUUUAUUUCCUCCUUGCUAAGAAUACACGUUUUUAAAUGAUCUUAGUUGAUAAACCUUUUUAACUUUUUUGUUUUUCGAACACGAUUCGGAUGAUUUAUCGUUAAAUUCUGCAUUCAUAGUCGACAAUUAAUAUAUCCUUGCCGAAGAACGAAGCAAUCGUUUAUCGAAAAUUGGGCUUCUUAACUCAACUGCCAGUGGUUUAAAUAAUUUGAAUAAAUUUAUCGAUAGCAAACAUAGUUGACAAAUACUAUAUAUGAAAAUAUGUAUACUGAAAGAGCUUAACUAAGAAGUUGACGUUUAUAUUCCUGACAUUGUCAAAAUAUUUUUGUUACUCAAGUCUUUAAGUCUUUUUGAUAAAUUUAUCAACAGUUGACAAAUACUAUAUACUUAAAUAUGUAUACAUAUUUUAAGAAAUUAGUUAAGAUUAAGAGUUGGCGUUUAUAUUCCUGCACAUUGGCAAAAUGUUUUCAGUGGUGUACUUGAAAAACUUAUAAAAUCCAAAAAGCUUUAAUAAUUUUGCAGCUGACCCUUAGCAAACUUUGAAAGCGGUUCUGUUCUGUAAAAAAUUGUCAAGGAUCUUGCACAAAUCGCUUUUUUUCACGAAAUAAUUUUUUUUUUUAAUUAUUUAUUUUGUAAAGAGCUUUAAAGCUUCCUAAAAUAAUUAAAUUGACAAACUCCUUGUAAUUAAAAAAUCUUUAAAAUUAAUAUUCUAUGAAAUAUAUUUUAUAACACUAAAUAAAUAUGUUUAUUAAUAAAAACUGUAAUUAGUAUUGCAAGCAAAGCUUUAGAAAGCUGUUUAAUAAAUAUGUUUAGUACAAAAAAUAUUUCACCGUCCUUUGAAAGAAAAAAACUUUAUAAAGCUUUAUGUUACCUAACCGAAUAUGCAAUUUGAGCUUUAGAAAGCUCUAAAUUAAAAAAGUGUAUUUUAAAUGUUUUUUAAUAUUUGUGAAUAAAAAUAAAUAUGUAUAAUAUAUA
Long non-coding RNA from Zeugodacus cucurbitae (melon fly), 1884 nucleotides. RefSeq lists it as uncharacterized. Lineage: Eukaryota; Metazoa; Arthropoda; Insecta; Diptera; Tephritidae. The record is from RefSeq and is a predicted model, not a curated record. The transcript is spliced from 2 exons.